CCUACAGGAGGCUGCAGUGGGGAAUAUUGGACAAUGGGGGCAACCCUGAUCCAGCCAUGCCGCGUGUGUGAAGAAGGCCCUCGGGUUGUAAAGCACUUUCAGUGAGGAAGAACGCCUGGUGGUUAAUACCCAUCAGGAAAGACAUCACUCACAGAAGAAGCACCGGCUAACUCCGUGCCAGCAGCCGCGGUAAUACGGAGGGUGCGAGCGUUAAUCGGAAUUACUGGGCGUAAAGCGCGCGUAGGUGGCUUGAUAAGCCGGUUGUGAAAGCCCCGGGCUCAACCUGGGAACGGCAUCCGGAACUGUCAAGCUAGAGUGCAGGAGAGGAAGGUAGAAUUCCCGGUGUAGCGGUGAAAUGCGUAGAGAUCGGGAGGAAUACCAGUGGCGAAGGCGGCCUUCUGGACUGACACUGACACUGAGGUGCGAAAGCGUGGGUAGCAAACAGGAUUAGAUACCCCAGUAGUC
Molecule: ribosomal RNA, 465 nt
Filed under: Vreelandella stevensii
Lineage: Bacteria; Pseudomonadati; Pseudomonadota; Gammaproteobacteria; Oceanospirillales; Halomonadaceae
Description: partial 16S ribosomal RNA
Rfam family: Bacterial small subunit ribosomal RNA
Source: RNAcentral